This 329-nucleotide unclassified non-coding RNA is filed under the name soil metagenome. RNAcentral's name for it is "partial contains 5.8S ribosomal RNA, internal transcribed spacer 2, and large subunit ribosomal RNA". The stretch from base 1 to 120 matches the Rfam family "5.8S ribosomal RNA", at positions 35 to 154 of the family's 154-position model. The record is from RNAcentral.
GAUGAAGAACGUAGCGAAAUGCGAUAAGUAAUGUGAAUUGCAGAAUUCAGUGAAUCAUCGAAUCUUUGAACGCACAUUGCGCCCCUUGGUAUUCCGAGGGGCAUGCCUGUUCGAGCGUCAUUAUAACCCCUCAAGCUCAGCUUGGUGUUGGGGCCUGCUGCACUGGGAGCCCUUAAAAUCAGUGGCGGCGCCGUCUGGCUCUAAGCGUAGUAAUUCUUCUCGCUAUGGAGUCCUGGUGGAUGCUUGCCAUCAACCCCCAAUUUUUCUAUGGUUGACCUCGGAUCAGGUAGGGAUACCCGCUGAACUUAAGCAUAUCAAUAAGCGGAGGA